RNAcentral lists this long non-coding RNA (577 nucleotides) under Capra hircus (goat). RNAcentral's name for it is "lncRNA (ENSCHIG00010006778.1)". The record is from RNAcentral. Lineage: Eukaryota; Metazoa; Chordata; Mammalia; Artiodactyla; Bovidae.
UCGGCACCAAAUCUGGAAGCUCCUCCUUCCCAGACGUGUGACCUUGAGGAGAUCAACACCCUCUGGAACUAUUUCAUCUACAUAGUGAAGACCCAGUGACACUUCAGGACCCUUUCAGCACUGACAUUUUAUUAUUCUAAUAAAUUUUGAUAUGAACCAUUCUACAGGAGCAGUGGAACAUCUUGGUUCGCAGGCGCAGAAGGACAUCCUCACCCGCCAGAAGGGACACAAGGCAGGGAUCCCAAUCUGCUGCCAAAAUGAGAUCUCCCUGACGGCUCUGCGGUGGAAAGAGGCCGAGCGAGCGAGCAAGCGGCAGAAAGCAGGUCUGCGGGGAUGGCAGCCGGCGAAGGUAUCACACCGCAAGCACCUGCCACGCUCCAAAAAGACAGCCGGGGUUUCACAUCGCAUUAGGCCAGGGCUGUGCUCGGGGAGGGCCGACCCUGGUGGGAUCUGGGCCUCGGCAGCCAUCUCCGACAAUUUCUCACCCUUUUUGGGCUCAGAAAAGCCCCCGAUACAGUUAGCCAAAUGGCUUUCCUGCAUCGAUUUUUAUCCCCUUGGGUAUUUUGGAGGAAAUUAA